CACAUGACUGUAUUGAAAAGUAUUAUGUUUAUAGGAAUGAAGACCUGGUAGGUAGCCACUGUGACAGGGUCCUACACGUACCUUUGACAUUUGCCCCAGCAGCUUUCUACCGCAGAUGACCAAGAUAUUAUCUGGACAAGUCUCUUUUCAGACCUUGCCUCUCUUUUCUAUCCAGGUAUAGCCUUUAUGAAAUAGACAACAGAUCUGCUGGUUCUGCCUUGUUCAAUUGCCCAGCUUGGUGGGCAUCCUGGAAGGAUGCUGGCAACCACCCCAAAAUAACCUGCUGCCUGCAAAGGGAUAAUAUGCCUCCACCAUUCCCUUCUCUAGAGUCCCCAACUUCUCUUAUUAUAUACUCACUUGAAUCAUACAGCUAGGCCUCGCUGCUUCUGAACAAAUUCUGUAAGAUUAGGGUUGUUUGGUCUGAGAGUAGAAAACCCAGACACCCAGACUCAUGACCCUUCUAGCCUUUUUUGGUCAUAGGUGUGUACAGUCAAACUCCAGGUCAACGUAUUUGGUAGGCAUAACAUUUAAUAUUUAUUCCACCAGAAUGUCUUUUUUUUUUUUUUUUUGAAAGCAGCUCAAGACCUCAGAGCAGAGUGGUCAUGGGUCAGGCUUUCAUAGGACAUGAAGUCACUGCAGCAAGACUGAGAGUAUAACCUGAGUGGACCCAAGCAGUGGACCCAGAUGGGCAGCAAGACUUCUGAAGUCAUUUGUUGUCUAAUUCCUGCCCAUAUAUGCUAAAAAAGAGUAUUCUAAGAUGUGUCCUUGUUUCUUUUGUUUCAUUUUGUAUUUCUUUCUUUUUAAAGAACUCCAUAAUUACAGAAAGUGGUUUACCAUUCUCUGAGAUCCCUAAAGACAAGUACAAGACAAGAAAUUUAAUUUAGCAUCAUGAGCUCUUGAUUACAAACACAGUUUGUGAGAUAGGUCACAGAAGCAAAGGGAGGUUUGUUCACCUGGUAAUUCCCUAUGGUCUGGAGAAAAUGUCAUUCAUUGAAAAAGCAGGCCUGCUCAUGUGGAGAUUAAAGCUGUAUCAGGAAAAGCUGACACAACAGUCUUUAAUUUGCAUCUUAAGGCAAGGGUAAGAAUGGCCAGUGUCUGAUAUUGCAGGAAGAUACACAUUAAGAAGUCUUUAUAGACAAAAGAGCCUUUGGUAGUAAAGUCAGAUUUUAGGACUGACAGGCAGAAUAAAGUUUUACACGUGCAAGGAUGGUGGUGGAAGAAAAAAUUUGUUAGAACAUUCUUUUGGCAGAGGGACCAUUUCACAGCUGGAAGAAAGAUGGAACAACUUUAAGAACCCAGGACACGAAAACUGUAGGAUCUCGCUUUUAUGAAUCCUAAAGGCUGAAGGGAUUCAACGCAUGCAGGGAGUGAAAGCCAAAGAUAUAUGCAGCCUUUUUGUGUAUUCAAUAGCCAGUAAUGCUUGCUCCUGUAGGCCCCAGUCUGGUGGAUAUAGGGUAAGGACUUCUAUGUGGAAAUGAUUCUGUAACCUGACCUAUGCCUGAAACUGUCUGUCAAGGUUGGCCUGAGAAGCCGGAGAAGAGCACAGUCAAAACAAAGAAGCAGGUUACCUUUCUGCUUUGGCCUGUAGAAGAGGUUGUGGAAUAGUGGGUAGACCACAAGCAUUUAAGAUUUAGCAUUGCUCAGGACAUGCUGUGUCCUGUCCUGGAACUGAUUAGACCCAUUUCUGCUUGGCUGCCAAAAUUCCAAGCUUUCAGGAAUUCUCAGAGGGUCAGGGCUACUGUCCUUGAAGCUUUCUUCCCUCUUGAAUAAAUUUCAGGUCAUCACUUACCCAUCUCUGUUCUAGGCAUUAUCUUGAUUAACUUAGUAGAAGCUGCUACAUCCUCAAAGGGCCAGUGAGCUAGCUACUCUGUUGCUCAUUCUCAGAACAACCACCUCAACAAUAGCGCCUUAGCGCUACUCUGAAAGAAAAGUCUGAAGAUAAAAGCUUCAUAUUGAUAUCUGGUCAUACUUGGGCUGGACCUGACUAUAAAGAUAGGGAUUCUACUUCCUUACUGUGCUUUAGAAGGUCAGGAUAUUGACUUCUUGGGAACACCAAUGGACCAGGGACAGGCUGGUGGCCAGAAGCCUGGAGCACAGCAAGUUCCACUGGGCUAACUUUGGUUUUGGCUGUGACCAAGGCACUACGCCUUCUAACUUAAUCCAGGUGUUCUCCCUUGUCUUCAUCUUUAAACUUCUUCCUUUUUUUUUUUUUUUUUUUUUUUCUUCUUGAGCAGAAGGAAGAAAAGUGAGUUGAGCCAGUCCCACACAGUGCCCUCCUGUGCCUCACAAGGAAUAGUGCUCUGGCAUCCCAUGGUCCAUAAUUUUUCUCAUCCUGAGACUCACCAGCAGGAACCAUGAUAAAGAUGGGGAGAAGGGAAAGACAACUCUUCAGUGGAGUGUAUCCAAUAAUGCACUUAAAUGUCUAGGUGAUACCUCUCAGCAACUUACCAUGGAAACUCUAGGUGAGAAAAUUUCAAGAGAAAUUGCACUUGAAAGCAUAUAGCAACAAUACUCUGUCUUAUCAAUGUUUAAUAGCUCCUGAAUAAAGCUGGGGGGGGUGGUUAAAAUAACCAAGAAAAUUAUAAAUGCUGAAAAGGUAUCAUUUUGGCUUUUAAAAAUAACAUGAUAUGUGAAUAUUUGAAUGUGGUAAUGCACCUGUUAGCUAUCACAGAUAGAAUGAUUCUUGAAGAAUAAAUAAUAUGAGAAGUAGUAAAGAAAAACAAUUUCAUUAUGACUGUAAGUACCACACAGUAGUCUUUAUUGUGAAAUUUUGUGUAAUAAAGACCCUCACAAAUUAAGAUUGUAUACAGUAUUAAGGUGCAGAUUUUUCAGUUCAGUAAAACUGACUUAAGUAAGGUUAUUUCUGGAUAAGAGUUUAAGAAGUAUGUCUCUGUGAUGGUGCUUCAAAACUCUCCCAGAAAUUAAGUUUUAAAAGCUCUACUUUCAAUUCUGGCUUAGCAUCAUACAAUAAAAGCAUUUAUUUAAUAUUCAACAAAUGCUGAGCAAAGUUUACGAAUUUGUACACCAAGAAAAUCUAAUAUCUACACUCUACUCAUUGAAGCUCAUUUAAAAAUAGCUGGAUGUGCAAAAUUUUGUCUCUGUGCCAGUAAAAUUUGAGCUAACAGCUCUCAGUCUGCAGUUACAAAAAUUAAACAACUUAAGAGACGGUACACAGAGGUUGUUUUUGACUUAUUUAUUAGUUUUUUUCUAUAUCAGAUUGGCAGUAAUGGAAGAAAUACAAUAUAUUGUUCAGAGCUAGAAGGAAGAAACACGGGAAAUCACGGGUGAGCUGGGACAGAGGACCUAAGAAAUGGUGUCAUGUUUUGUAUAAAGACACUUAGGCAGAGAUGAAAUUUUACCACAUAUGUAUCACUGGAAGGAGGUAGGAGUGGUGAGAUUAAAGUCAUAUGCUUACAGGGUGGACACUUUGUGAAGAGGAGAAAACAUUGGGAAAAACAACUAAAAGUUAAGUAAGAAAACUCAGAAAAGACAGCGUCAACUUAAGAAAAAAAGGUGAAAAUAUCAGAAAUAAAAUCACAUUGGAACAGCCCCAUGCUAUUUAUUUAUGGAGAGUUACAAGAUAAUGUAUAAAGCUCUCAUGUCUUUGCACUGCUGCUUAGAACAUUACUAAUCACAAUAUAGCUGUUUUAACUUAAAAGUGUUUCAAAGGACAUAAUGAUUUCAUAGGGCUUUGAUUUAUCUUUUGCUUCUCACCACUGUACAUCAAUCACACCCCUAUGCAAACAUACACCCUCACACACAUAGAAAUAGCUGAUUGUCAAACAUGGUGCAGAGUGAAUAGUUUUUAUAUUAAGUAAAAUGGCAAACCUUCGUGUUCAUUGUACAAUAACAUUUUAGCUGUUAAAAAUAUAAGAUUGAGGAUGAUGAAAGCAAGAUAGUGAAAUAUGAGGUCACCAUUCUGUAUCCCUUUAAAACGCAAGAAUUCUGCACCCAUUCACAGACAUAAGUUUCUUUAUUUCUUGAUAAAAUAAUUGGGAUUCAGCUAUGAGAUCUGUAAAAUGCUGGUGUAGCCCAAAAAUUAUGAUUUUUGAGACUGCAAAUAAACAUUCCUAUGGCAGACAAGUCAUUUGUUUUCUUUAAUUUAGACUCAGGACUGGUCCCUUUGGCUGGGUUAAAUUCACAUGUAUUCCUGGAGCCUGAUCACAAAACUGUCUUUUAUAAGAUGCAGAAGAAUCAUGUGCAGUAGAGCCUAAACAGAAUGAAGUCUGCCUGCUGACCCUUGUCUUGGCAGUGGACCCUAAUGUUAUCUUAUAAAAUGGAUACUCUCCUUUUUAAGGCAUGGUUUCAGGUUAUUUUUUCUCCCCUGAGGAGCCUAAAGAGAACUCAUCUAUCUGUGCCACCAGGAUUGGCUUGCUUCUCUCUAUUCAAGAGCAGAUCCACUCUGUGGUAGGCAGAGUUUCUAUGCCUGUGCAGCGAACUAAGCAGUAAACCCAGACAAGUUUGCCUGCUUCUAUCUGUCAGCAGUUACUGAUGAGACUGUGUCAACUUCACUGCCAAAGUCCCAGAUUUACACUGUAUCGAUAGAGAAUUAUAAGUUACAACUAGAUAGUCUUGAAGUCCUUAAGCCAAAGAAUAUUCUGGAAGGUGAUUGAUUAGAUUGACACAAGCAUCUCUGAACUUGCAUUUGUGAGCAAUUUUGCCUGCAAAAGAAAUUUUUCUUAGUGUUACAUCAAAAAAGCCACCAAAAAUAGUUUUUGUUUUUUACCUUAAUCUCAAUUUCAGCUCCCGCUAUAGUCUGGGAAAAUUUAAAACCAAAGAAACAACACAUGGGAAUUCUUAACAAACUCUUGUUCAGUUAUGACUUUUAGUAGGUCCUCUAAUAUAUACAGAUCUUACUAUUGAUUUUUGUUGUUUGCAGAUACAUGAGAUAUUUUGCCUACUAUGGGUCCAUGAGAGAAUCAGGUCCAGCAGUGUCCUACAGAUGGAUACCCUCACUUUGGAUCCACUGUGAAUUUUGAAACAAGUGCGUAAAUAGUCUCUGCCACAGACUCAGAGCAGGAGUGGUAACUCCAAAACACAGCAGGACAUAUCUUAAUUUUGACGCCAGAGGAAGGUUUAGAUAUUUUAGUCUUGGAUGACAUAACAUUGUGUCUCAAUUCUAGCGUGUCUCAGCAAAAGAAUGAAGCAAUAUGAGAGGCCCAGGGACCUGUCUGUACAUAACAGUAGUUCUCCCAACUACCAUAGAUAGCCACACAUUUCAGCACAAGUGCUGAAAACCCCACUGUUUGCAAGUUGUGAAGAAAAUAUUUGUCUUAGUGCCAGGCCUGAAGUCCAGGACCUUGGAGACAGACAGAUCUACCCAGGAUACAGAUAGAACUCCAGACUAUUAGUUCUCCUGGUAACUAGACUAUAAAAUUCAGUUUGUAUUGUGUACCAAGUUCAGCCAGGAGACCUACUUAAAACUCACAGAACUGUAAUCUCAAAGGCAAUAUCUUCAGCACAAAAGCCUAUUGGAGGAAAACUUCAAACCUACACCAGUUUGUAAGACUCAAUGGAAACAGAGAUAAAGAAUAUUAAUAAAACUAAUAAAGAAUACUAAUACAUCUUUUUAAAAGUUACAUAAAGGAAUGCAUGUGAAUUUCCUGAAAUAGAAUUAAACACAAUUAUUAUAAAACACUCCUCAGAUGCAAAAGAAACCCCAAAAAUGCAGGAACAAAUAAAAAUAUUGGAAAACUAUGCAUAUACAAAAUUUAAAGUUCAAUGAAUAAAUAAAAAUUUGGAGAGAAAAGAAACAAAAUGGUAGAAUAGAAAUCUUAACUGAUUGCAGCCCUCCACCUCACCCCAGGAACAUCAAGUUACCGAUUAUCUGCACAGAAAAGAAAAACAAAGAAAACACACACCUUCAUAAGAACCAAAAAUCAGGUGAUCACUCACAGUAACUAAUUUUAACUUCGUAUCACUGAAAGAGGCACUGAAGAUUUGAAACAAAAACAAAAAACAAACAAACAACAAUAAUACCAGCCCUGAUUCCCCAAGGCCACCUCUCCCUGAUCCUUGGUACCAACUGUGUAGGCAGAAAGCAUAUGUGGGCACUGGUGUAGAAAGAACAGAGCAAUCUCAAGGCAGUGAACUCAGUGCUGUCCUAUUAAAGGAGAGAAGAAAACCAGAACAAACUCAGCUGAUGCCCACCCACAGAAGGAGCAUUGAAACUAUCCCUAGCUACAGGGAAUUUCCAGUGCUAGUGGUCUGAACUUGAGUGCCCACAAACCUCUCCAUAGAGGGCCAAAAUGCUCUUGAAAUCUAAGUAAACUUGAAUAGUAUUCUAAGCCACUGCAUCUCUUAAGUUCUGUUGCUGAAGUAGGCCCAGAAACAGUGGACUUGAGUGGAACAAGGGGCACCAGCCAAGGCAGAAAAGGGAGCCCUGACAUCACCUCUGUGCUAACCCUAAGCUUCUUAGCUCAUGGCUCCAAAAAAGGCUGCUUUCCUCCACUUAUGGGGAGGACAUGAAAGGGUACAAAGGACUUUAUUUUGCAUCUACACACUGUUCAGCCACAGCAGGUUAAGGUACCGUACACAGUUUUGAGGCUGCCAUUUUUGGUCUUAGCUCCCAGAUGGCAUUUCUUGACACACCCUGGGCCAGAAGGGAAACUGAUGCCUUGAAGGAAAGGACUCAGUCCAGUCAACAUUUGUUGCCUGCUAACUGAAGAAACCUUGGGCUCUGAAUAAACAGCAGUGUUACCCAGGUAUUACAUUAAGGGCCUUGGUGACACUCUGAGAUUUGCUGGCUUCAGGAGAAAUGUAGCACAUAACCAACCGUAGUGGCAAUGGAGCAAAACAACUUCUACUCUACAAAACUGGAGAGAAACUUAAAGGGGACUUUGUCUUCUUGCAGUUUAGGUACCAACACUGCCACAGGGGCUAGGCACAAAAUGAGCUCUUAAAAUCCCUGAUUCCAAGACUUGACUCUUGGAUGGCAUUUGUGGACCUUCUUCCCAGGAAGAAGCCCACUGCCCUGAAGGGUGAAUCCCAGGUCAGGCAGCAUUUACCAAAAGCUAACCUAAAAGACGUCAGGCCUUAAGAAAACAUCUGUGGUAGUCUGGCAGUACUCGUUUUGGCCAGGGGUAGUAGUGGUAACUAUGGGAUAAGAAUUAUCUGCCUUUGGAAAGUAGAGGGAAGAGUGGGAAGAACUGCAGCUUAUGGUUUGGGUGGCAGCUCGCCUCAAUAUCGUAGAGUACCAACUAGACUUCUAAGGUUUUUGAAUCCAGCCCUGACUCUAAGAUGGCACUUCUGACACACAUGGGAUCUAGGGGACCUCACUGCCCUAAAUGGAAGAACAAAGGCCUGCCUUUGCUACCUGCUAAUUGUAGAGCCCCACGCCCUUGAAUUAACAUAGGCAGUAACCAGGGAUUGGUUAUAGCAGGCCUUGGGUGAGACCCAGCAUUGUGCUGGCUUCAGUUCUGACCCAGCAUAAUCACAGGGGUAGUGGCCACAGGAGUACUUGUGUCACUCCAUAACUAGUUUUAGAUGACUCAGAACAUAGAAAGAGACUCUGUAUGUUUGGGAGAAAGUAAGGAAAGAGAACAAAAGUGUCUGCCUGGUAAUCCAGAUAACUCUUCCAGAUUCUGUCCAAGACUGUCAAGGCAGUACCUCUACGACUCCAGAAGAACCAUGGAGUUUUGGGGCUUGUGGUACUUCCUAAAGCAGGCACAGCUUAGAUCACAACGUCCAAGUCUUUUCCAAUACCUGGAAAGGCUUUUCCAAAAAAAAAAAAAAAAAAAAAAAAAAAGACUCUAAAUAAGC
Molecule: non-coding RNA, 7761 nt
Organism: Macaca mulatta (Rhesus monkey)
Lineage: Eukaryota; Metazoa; Chordata; Mammalia; Primates; Cercopithecidae
Source: RefSeq, a predicted model, not a curated record